CACUCUGGAAAGUAGUCGCGUACCUAGGUCACGACUCACCGAAGGUGUAAGCCGGCGGAGCCGGUGACACUCUCAGGUUCCACGACAGAGCGGGGA
This 96-nucleotide non-coding RNA is filed under the name marine eukaryotic metagenome. RNAcentral's name for it is "Glycine riboswitch". It matches the Rfam family "Glycine riboswitch aptamer", at positions 7 to 90 of the family's 94-position model. Rfam says of the family: This family represents the bacterial glycine riboswitch. The record is from RNAcentral.